CCCCCCCGUUUUGUUUGUUUGUUUUGUUUCGUUGUGUUUUCCUUCCCCCUCGCAAAGCGACCCCGGAGCCUCGCAUUGCCCCACGCCGGGGGCAACUCUCCCGCGGCCCCGACGGCGACCCGCGGCCACCUCCGAGGGGAACGGCGGGGCGCAGCCCACCGGGCCCUGCCUGCAGCCGCGACCCCGCCAGGAAACGUCGCCUCUCCGCCGGCACAGGGCCUGCCGCCCCCGGCCGCCGCCCCCCGCACCGCUGUAACGUCGCAAACGCCCUCGCCUGCAGAAUAAAAACCGAUGCAGAGCAGCCUCGUCUCCCCGACCCUCUGUGCCGCGCCCGUCGGGGGGACAGCGGGGUGGGGGCUGAGGAGAGCCGGACACCGUUUCCCCGGCCCCGACGGACGCGAAAGCGACCCCAGGAGCCUGCGCCCAUGGACGGGGAGGGCGGCGCGAUGCGGCCGGGCAAAACCCAACGCGGCCUCGGCAAUGAGCGGCCCUGGGGAAGGAGGGCAGCAAGGAGACGCAACAAGGAAGGAAUAACAUGAUCAACCCUGUCCACAGAAAGUCCUUGAAUUUCCACUCUCUCCAGUUCAUUCGUUAAUGCUCGGCACUUUUGCAGGCGGCUGGAGCUCCUGGCUGGCGCUUGCACCACACGUUACCGAGAUUCCUUUUGUCUCUGAGCACAAAAAAGCAGAGAACGGUUGUGAAACCAUAUGCUUGACCGAAAGUGGCUUAGAAAGAUUUCUUCUCAGCCAAACUCCUCCUGAACACAGCGAAAAAAAGAAGCCGCAGAGCUAUCGGGAUUGAAGACAGAGUCUCUUCAUAUUGCACAGGAAAACAAAGUCAAGACUUUGUGAGUACGUUCCAGGAAGGUUUACGCGGAAGAGUCGUCAAUAUUUAUCAGGGUAACGAGAACCAUCCAGCACAGCAGCUAACUGGCGGGUGACAGACACAUCAAGAUUGUUUAGGCAGAGAGACAGCUUGUUACCCUGUCUUGAUCUC
RNAcentral lists this long non-coding RNA (996 nucleotides) under Anser cygnoides (Swan goose). RNAcentral's name for it is "lncRNA (ENSACDG00005012539.1)". Lineage: Eukaryota; Metazoa; Chordata; Aves; Anseriformes; Anatidae. The record is from RNAcentral.